RNAcentral lists this ribosomal RNA (254 nucleotides) under uncultured bacterium. RNAcentral's name for it is "partial 16S ribosomal RNA". It matches the Rfam family "Bacterial small subunit ribosomal RNA", at positions 524 to 776 of the family's 1533-position model. The record is from RNAcentral.
UACGUAGGGUGCGAGCGUUAAUCGGAAUUACUGGGCGUAAAGCGUGCGCAGGCGGUCUGUUAAGACCGAUGUGAAAUCCCCGGGCUUAACCUGGGAACUGCAUUGGUGACUGGCAGGCUUUGGGUGUGGCAGAGGGAGGUAGAAUUCCACGUGUAGCAGUGAAAUGCGUAGAGAUGUGGAGGAAUACCGAUGGCGAAGGCAGCCUCCUGGGCCAACACUGACGCUCAUGCACGAAAGCGUGGGGAGCAAACAGG